RNAcentral lists this ribosomal RNA (773 nucleotides) under uncultured bacterium. RNAcentral describes it as "bacterial SSU rRNA". It matches the Rfam family "Bacterial small subunit ribosomal RNA", at positions 8 to 798 of the family's 1533-position model. The record is from RNAcentral.
AGAGUUUGAUCCUGGCUCAGGACGAACGCUGGCGGCGUGCUUAACACAUGCAAGUCGAACGGAAAGGCCCUUCGGGGUGCUCGAGUGGCGAACGGGUGAGUAACACGUGGGUGAUCUGCCCUGCACUUUGGGAUAAGCCUGGGAAACUGGGUCUAAUACCGAAUAGGACUCCGGACUGCAUGGUCUGGGGUGGAAAGCUUUUGCGGUGUGGGAUGGGCCCGCGGCCUAUCAGCUUGUUGGUGGGGUGAUGGCCUACCAAGGCGACGACGGGUAGCCGGCCUGAGAGGGUGACCGGCCACACUGGGACUGAGAUACGGCCCAGACUCCUACGGGAGGCAGCAGUGGGGAAUAUUGCACAAUGGGCGCAAGCCUGAUGCAGCGACGCCGCGUGAGGGAUGACGGCCUUCGGGUUGUAAACCUCUUUCAGCACAGACGAAGCGCGAGUGACGGUAUGUGCAGAAGAAGGACCGGCCAACUACGUGCCAGCAGCCGCGGUAAUACGUAGGGUCCGAGCGUUGUCCGGAAUUACUGGGCGUAAAGAGCUCGUAGGUGGUUUGUCGCGUUGUUCGUGAAAACUCACAGCUUAACUGUGGGCGUGCGGGCGAUACGGGCAGACUGGAGUACUGCAGGGGAGACUGGAAUUCCUGGUGUAGCGGUGGAAUGCGCAGAUAUCAGGAGGAACACCGGUGGCGAAGGCGGGUCUCUGGGCAGUAACUGACGCUGAGGAGCGAAAGCGUGGGGAGCGAACAGGAUUAGAUACCCUGGUAGUCCAA